This 444-nucleotide long non-coding RNA is filed under the name Fukomys damarensis (Damara mole-rat). RNAcentral's name for it is "lncRNA (ENSFDAG00000027676.1)". Lineage: Eukaryota; Metazoa; Chordata; Mammalia; Rodentia; Bathyergidae. The record is from RNAcentral.
GUUAGAAUAAAGAACAUUGAAGACCACUGUGAUCUGAAAAGACAACCAGCCUCAGGGUCAUCUAGAUCAGAAAAGUGAAGUAAAUUAAAAAAUGGUGAGGCUUAAGGUUCAGGGGCAGAAUACAGACUCACUGUGCAUCCUGGGGCGGGGAAUCCAGACCAGGAGGAAGCAGCAGGAGCCGGAGUUGGGCCUAGAACUGUCAGAUGCAGGAAGAAGCCCCGGUACUGGGAGCAGCGGCGGGCAGGAAAGUGAGGCUGAGGCAGGGAGACCUGGGACGCGGCUCCCCAGGCACUGGAGAGCAACUCCGCCAAAAACUGGAUUUCGCACCAGGACAGCACACGGUAAGGACUUUCCUGCCUGUUUGGAAGAGAGAUGAUAAUACAAAAAUUGCAAUGUCCGUGAAUAACCCAGACUUUCUGUGUCAUGGAUGUUUCUGGCACAAGG